UUUCAUGCAUCAGAAGAGCCAGCAGACUUUUGUCUCCUUCAAUCCUCCUAGGAAUUUUAUUCUGCUUCUGUUACAGUAGUUUAUUGCAGAUACCCAUUCAAUUAAUUUCGCCAUUCUGCUGCUACAUUAUUUUCUUAAAUCUCCUCUUCUGAAUGUGUAAUUGUGGAAUUCUUAUAUACAGCUGAUUUACUGGAAAAUCCAAAUGAAUAAUCUUGUUUCGCUUUUCUUUUUUCUCUUUGCUAUUGCCAGUGAUUCUAGUAAUCUGAAUGCUAUAUUGCCAGCACAUAUUGUCUUUCUUUUAAUGUGUUAAUUUUCUUGAUAUUGAACAGAUCCCUCUUUCGUAAAUAUCUGAGGAUGCUUAUAAGACAUCUGCUGACUGGCUUAACCAGCGAUUGUUUGAUGCACUUGGUUCCUUUGGUGUAACCAACGACUAUCCUUAAUGUGACCGUUUGAUGCAGUUGGGCAAGUAUAAUAGCUGUAUUAGUAAUGGUCUGGCGUAUAAGGACUGGUCAUUGCUUGCGGCCCCUUGAACCUGCACAUUCUCAGGGUGUCACCAGUCUUAUCUUCUCUCGAGGUAGAAGUCAGAUCUUAAGCACAUCCUUUGACAGCACAGCAAGGUUUUUAUCCUUUGACCAUUUGCUGCGACGGAAUGUCAUCACUAAAUGUUAGAUGUAGUGGUUUUAGCUAAAUGAUGACCUCAGAAUUCAUGGCCUGAAGUAAGGUAAAUAUUUUAAAGAAUUCCGUGGACAUUCAUCUUAUGUGAAUGAUGCUAUGUUUACUUUGAUGGAUCUCGAGUCAGCACCGCAUCUAGCGGUGAAGGUCUGGGAUGCCAAACUACAGAGUGUCUGCAGACAUUCAGACCACCUCCUCCUUUAAGGGGUGGUGAUGCAUCUGUGAAUUCUGUCCAUCCUUUCCCUAAGAAUACAGAGCACAUUACAGUGUGCAAUAAGACGUCAUCUAAAUAUCUGAUGACUCAAGGACAGGCACUCAAGUACACUCUCUCUGUCAUCUGAUUUUCGAAUACUCAGCAAAAUCUGUUUUGGCCUGAAAGCUCUAAUAUCAGAACUGUAGUUGAAAGGAAACUGAAGGAAGUUCUGUUGGUGAAGCACCAUAGACACUCAUUUCGACUGUUCUGCUUUAGGUGGUGUUGGCGGAACUUGUGACUGGACUAACCGCCCUUGAUGAGCAUCAAUCGGAGGAAACUUGAUAUCUAGUUGAGUGGUUCCGCCAGAUAAAAUCGAAUAAAGAAAAUCUCCUUGCUUCCGUUGACCCAGCUCUUCACGUGAAGGAAGAUAUCCAAAAGAGCAUUUGCAUUAUGGCUGAAUUAGCUGGACAUUGCACUGACAGAGAUCCUAAUCAUAGGCCUGACAUGUCACACGCAAUGAAUGUGCUUGGCCAACUAGUUUGAGUUUUGGAAACCUGUAGAAGAAUCGGAUGAAAGUUCAGGAAUUGACUACGCUCUACCUCAAGUAGAGAAAAUCUCCAGGAGAUUAUCUCCUUGCUUUCGUUGACCCAGCUCGUGACGAGAAGGAGAUAUCCACAAGGUUUUAAUUUUAUUUGAAACAGGUUUUAAUUUAGUUUGGGCUGGUUUAAGUUGGCGACGUGGACCUCUAAUUGGAGGUCACGUGUAAAAUUUGUUAUUUUAAAAUCAGUCAUUUGAGCUAUUAAUGGUGAGUGGCAUGGAUGAGUCAUUUUGGUCACGACGAUGGCAUAAGUGAGCUCAACUAUUAACGAGUGUCAUAAAUGAGUCAUUUCGAAUAGUUCAAUGAUAUAUUUGAGCUUUUUCUCCUUUAUGUUUGACGGUCAACAUCUUUAGCUCUUGCUGUCUGUGUUAUCUUCAUUGUCCCGAUUCUCAAAUAUGGGAUUAAGGCUUUGUCCGCAU
Molecule: long non-coding RNA, 1882 nt
Organism: Lycium barbarum (goji berry)
Lineage: Eukaryota; Viridiplantae; Streptophyta; Magnoliopsida; Solanales; Solanaceae
Exons: 8
Source: RefSeq, a predicted model, not a curated record